AACGAACGCUGGCGGCAGGCCUAACACAUGCAAGUCGAGCGCUCACUUCGGUGGGAGCGGCGGACGGGUUAGUAACGCGUGGGAAUAUGCCCGGUACUAAGGAAUAGCCUUUGGAAACGAAGAGUAAUACCUUAUACGCCCUUCGGGGGAAAGAUUUAUCGGUAUCGGAUUAGCCCGCGUAAGAUUAGAUAGUUGGUGGGGUAAUGGCCUACCAAGUCUACGAUCUUUAGCUGGUUUUAGAGGAUGAUCAGCAACACUGGGACUGAGACACGGCCCAGACUCCUACGGGAGGCAGCAGUGGGGAAUCUUAGACAAUGGGCGCAAGCCUGAUCUAGCCAUGCCGCGUGAGUGAAGAAGGCCUUAGGGUCGUAAAACUCUUUCGCCAGAGAUGAUAAUGACAGUAUCUGGUAAAGAAACCCCGGCUAACUCCGUGCCAGCAGCCGCGGUAAUACGGAGGGGGUUAGCGUUGUUCGGAAUUACUGGGCGUAAAGCGUACGUAGGCGGAUUGGAAAGUAUGGGGUGAAAUCCCAGGGCUCAACCCUGGAACUGCCCUGUAAACUAUCAGUCUAGAGUUCGAGAGAGGUGAGUGGAAUUCCAAGUGUAGAGGUGAAAUUCGUAGAUAUUUGGAGGAACACCAGUGGCGAAGGCGGCUCACUGGCUCGAUACUGACGCUGAGGUACGAAAGUGUGGGGAGCAAACAGGAUUAGAUACCCUGGUAGUCCACACCGUAAACGAUGAAUGCCAGACGUCGGGGGGCUUGCCCUUCGGUGUCACACCUAACGGAUUAAGCAUUCCGCCUGGGGAGUACGGUCGCAAGAUUA
RNAcentral lists this ribosomal RNA (821 nucleotides) under uncultured marine bacterium. RNAcentral's name for it is "bacterial SSU rRNA". It matches the Rfam family "Bacterial small subunit ribosomal RNA", at positions 28 to 896 of the family's 1533-position model. The record is from RNAcentral.